AGAUUUGAUCCUGGCUCAGGAUGAACGCUAGCGGAGCCUAACACAUCAAGCCGAGCGUAUAGAUUCUCGGAAUCUAGAGAGCGGCGUACGGUGCGGAACACGUGUGCAACCUACCUUUAUCAGGGGAUAGCCUUCGAAAGGAAGAUUAAUACCCCAUAAUAUAUUGACUGCAUCAUCGAUAUUGAAAACUCGGUGGAUAAGAUGGCACGCGCAAGAUUAGAUAGUUGUAGGUAACGCCUACCAGUCAGUGAUCUUUAGGGCCUGAAGGGUGAUCCCCACACUGGUACUGAGACACGGACCAGACUCCUACGGGAGCAGCAGUGAGGAAUAUUGGACAAUGGUGAGAGCUGACCAGCCAUCCCGCUGAAGGACGACGCCCUAUGGGUUGUAAACUUCUUUGUAUAGGGAUAAACCUACUCUCGUGAGAGUAGCUGAAGACUAUACAAUAAGCACCGGCUACCCUUCCAGCACCGCGGUAAUACGAGGGCAAGCGUAUCCGGAUUUAUUGGUUUAAAGGUCCGUGGCGGAUCUGAAGUCAGUGGUGAAAUCUCAUAGCUUAACUAUGAACUGCCAUUGAUACUGCAGUCUUGAGUAAAGUAAAUGGCUGAAUAAGUAGUGUAGCGGUGAAAUGCAUGAAUUACUUAGAACACCAAUUGCGAAGGCAGUCACUAUGUUUAACUGACGCUGAUGGACGAAAGCGUGGGACGAACAGAUUAGAUACCUGGUAGUCCACGCCGUAAACGAUGCUAACUCGUUUUGGGCUUUAGGGUUCAGAACUAACGAAAGUGAUAAGUUAGCCACCUGGGAGUACGUUCGCAAAUGAAACUCAAAGGAAUUGACGGGGCCCGCACAGCGGUGGAUUAUGUGGUUAAUUCGAUGAUACGCAGAACCUUACAAGGCUUAAUGGAAUGACAGGUUUAGAAAUAGACUUUUCUUCGGACAAUUUUCAAGGCUGCAGGUUGUCGUCAGCUCGUGCGUGAGGUGUUAGGUUAAGUCCUGCAACGAGCGCAACCCCUGUCACUAGUUCCAUCAUUCAGUUGGGGACUCUAGUGAGACUGCUACGCAAGUAGAGGAAGGUGGGGAUGACGUCAAAUCAUCACGGCCCUUAGCUUGGCCACACGUAAUACAAUGGCCAGUACAGAGGGCAGCUACCAGGCGACUGGAUGCGAAUCUCGAAACUGGUCCAGUUCGGAUUGGAGUCUGCAACUCGACUCUAUGAGCUGGAAUCGCUAGUAAUCGCAUAUCAGCCAUGAUGCGUGAAUACUUCCCGGCCUUGUACACACGCCCGUCAAGCCAUGGAAUUUGGGUACUGAAUCGGUGACCGUACAGAGCGCCUAGGGUAAAACAAUAACUAGGCUAAGUCGUAACAAGGUAGCCGACCGGAAGUGCGGCUGGAACAUCU
Molecule: ribosomal RNA, 1402 nt
Filed under: Chryseobacterium balustinum
Lineage: Bacteria; Pseudomonadati; Bacteroidota; Flavobacteriia; Flavobacteriales; Weeksellaceae
Description: bacterial SSU rRNA
Rfam family: Bacterial small subunit ribosomal RNA
Source: RNAcentral